UCAAAGUUUCCAUCUCUUGAUAACUGUUCCCUCAAUGCCUUUCUCUCGUCUAGACGCCCAUCAUAAAGAACAGCUUUAAUCCUGGACUCAUCCUCAGGAACCCAUGUUGAGAAUUCAUUGAUCCAAUUGGGUAGUACAGCCUUUGGAGCCACUAUCAAGUGCGGCCCACAGACACCUUUUUUCUCCUUCAGAUAAGCAAUCAAUGAAAUGGUUUGUAUUGUCUUCCCCAAUCCCAUCUCAUCAGCUAAAAUUCCAUUUAAAUUGUUGUUGAACAAAGA
Molecule: unclassified non-coding RNA, 278 nt
Filed under: Hevea brasiliensis (rubber tree)
Lineage: Eukaryota; Viridiplantae; Streptophyta; Magnoliopsida; Malpighiales; Euphorbiaceae
Source: RNAcentral